CGGAGUAACUUCGCGAAUGAGUAAGGCGCUGAUCUGCAACGAAUACUAAUUCAUACUGCAAAUGUUGCAAUAAAUACCUCAUUGCUUCUCGCAAGAGGAACGUGUCUAGGAAGAUUUUGCCAGAUUCCUGCAUCAAUUGUACAAAGAAUUGCGCAAAGGUAGCAAAAUUGCAGGAAAAAAUAAAGGAAAAAACCAUUAGACGAUUAAGACAACAAAAUGCACGUCUAGUUUCAUAUUUCAACGAUAUGGCCGGAAAGAUCGAACAAUUUAAGGUGGAACUAAAGAACUUGACUGAGAAGUCACUGGAAAAA
Molecule: long non-coding RNA, 311 nt
Organism: Daphnia magna
Lineage: Eukaryota; Metazoa; Arthropoda; Branchiopoda; Diplostraca; Daphniidae
Exons: 2
Source: RefSeq, a predicted model, not a curated record